This is a long non-coding RNA of Oncorhynchus keta (chum salmon), 7115 nucleotides long. RefSeq lists it as uncharacterized. The transcript has 16 exons. NCBI's taxonomy places the organism in Eukaryota, Metazoa, Chordata, Actinopteri, Salmoniformes, Salmonidae. The record is from RefSeq and is a predicted model, not a curated record.
UCUCUCUCUGUUUCUCUCUCUCUUUCUCUCUCUCUGUUUCUGUUUCUCUCUCUCUGUUUCUCUCUCUCUGUUUCUCUCUCUCUCUGUUUCUCUCCCUCUCUCUCUCUGUUUCUCUCUCUCUCUCUUAAAGUGAAUUACAGAAGCCCUUAACAAGGUUUCAGCCCUGUCCCUCUCCGUAUCAUAACAGAUGGGGUCGACCAUUCAUUCAUAGAUUACAAAGCUGAAUUGAGCCAGAAGCUGCUGUUUUUUUUCCUUCUUCCCAGUUGUCUGGUUUCUAUCAAUAGUGAAAGAGGCAGUUGAGGGGAAUCUCUUAAGGGACUUCAGUACUAAGUAACCUCCUCCAUUUUGAGUUUGUGUUUAUACCCAGGUCUUUAAUUGAUUUGAUUCUAAGAAGGGGCUGUGUUUAUACCCAGGUCUUUAAUUGAUUUGAUUCUAAGAAGGGGCUGUGUGUUUAUACCCAGGUCUUUAAUUGAUUUGAUUCUAAGGGGCUGUGUUUAUACCCAGGUCUUUUAUUGAUUUGAUUCUAAGGGGCUGUGUUUAUACCCAGGUCUGUUAUUUAUUUGAUUCUAAGAAGGGGCUGUGUUUAUACCCAGGUCUUUAAUUGAUUUGAUUCUAAGGGGCUGUGUGUUUAUACCCAGGUCUGUUAUUGAUUUGAUUCUAAGGGGCUGUGUUUAUACCCAGGUCUGUUAUUGAUUUGAUUCUAAGGGGCUGUGUUUAUACCCAGGUCUGUUAUUGAUUUGAUUCUAAGGGGCUGUGUUUAUACCCAGGUCUGUUAUUGAUUUGAUUCUAAGGGGCUGUGUGUUUAUACCCAGGUCUGUUAUUGAUUUGAUUCUAAGGGGCUGUGUUUAUACCCAGGUCUGUUAUUGAUUUGAUUCUAAGGGGCUGUGUGUUUAUACCCAGGUCUUUAAUUGAUUUGAUUCUAAGGGGCUGUGUGUUUAUACCCAGGUCUGUUAUUGAUUUGAUUCUAAGGGGCUGUGUUUAUACCCAGGUCUGUUAUUGAUUUGAUUCUAAGGGGCUGUGUGUUUAUACCCAGGUCUUUAAUUGAUUUGAUUCUAAGGGGCUGUGUGUUUAUACCCAGGUCUGUUAUUGAUUUGAUUCUAAGGGGCUGUGUGUUUAUACCCAGGUCUUUAAUUGAUUUGAUUCUAAGAAGGGGCUGUGUUUAUACCCAGGUCUUUAAUUGAUUUGAUUCUAAGAAGGGGCUGUGUUUAUACCCAGGUCUUUAAUUGAUUUGAUUCUAAGAAGGGGCUGUGUUUAUACCCAGGUCUUUAAUUGAUUUGAUUCUAAGAAGGGGCUGUGUUUAUACCCAGGUCUUUAAUUGAUUUGAUUCUAAGAAGGGGCUGUGUUUAUACCCAGGUCUGUUAUUGAUUUGAUUCUAAGGGGCUGUGUUUAUACCCAGGUCUGUUAUUGAUUUGAUUCUAAGGGGCUGUGUUUAUACCCAGGUCUCUUAUUGAUUUGAUUCUAAGAAGGGGCCGUGUGUUUAUACCCAGGUCUGUUAUUGAUUUGAUUCUAAGAAGGGGCUGUGUUUAUACCCAGGUCUGUUAUUGAUUUGAUUCUAAGAAGGGGCUGUGUUUAUACCCAGGUCUGUUAUUGAUUUGAUUCUAAGAAGGGGCCGUGUUUAUACCCAGGUCUGUUAUUGAUUUGAUUCUAAGAAGGGGCUGUGUUUAUACCCAGGUCUGUUAUUGAUUUGAUUCUAAGAAGGGGCUGUGUUUAUACCCAGGUCUGUUAUUGAUUUGAUUCUAAGAAGGGGCUGUGUUUAUACCCAGGUCUGUUAUUGAUUUGAUUCUAAGAAGGGGCUGUGUUUAUACCCAGGUCUUUAAGUGAUUUGAUUCUAAGAAGGGGCUGUGUUUAUACCCAGGUCUGUUAUUGAUUUGAUUCUAAGAAGGGGCUGUGUUUAUACCCAGGUCUGUUAUUGAUUUGAUUCUAAGAAGGGGCUGUGUUUAUACCCAGGUCUGUUAUUGAUUUGAUUCUAAGAAGGGGCUGUGUUUAUACCCAGGUCUGUUAUUGAUUUGAUUCUAAGAAGGGGCUGUGUUUAUACCCAGGUCUGGUAUUGAUUUGAUUCUAAGAAGGGGCUGUGUUUAUACCCAGGUCUUUAAUUGAUUUGAUUCUAAGAAGGGGCUGUGUUUAUACCCAGGUCUGUUAUUGAUUUGAUUCUAAGAAGGGGCUGUGUUUAUACCCAGGUCUGUUAUUGAUUUGAUUCUAAGAAGGGGCUGUGUUUAUACCCAGGUCUGUUAUUGAUUUGAUUCUAAGAAGGGGCUGUGUUUAUACCCAGGUCUGGUAUUGAUUUGAUUCUAAGAAGGGGCUGUGUUUAUACCCAGGUCUUUAAUUGAUUUGAUUCUAAGAAGGGGCUGUGUUUAUACCCAGGUCUGUUAUUGAUUUGAUUCUAAGAAGGGGCUGUGUGUUUAUACCCAGGUCUGUUAUUGAUUUGAUUCUAAGAAGGGGCUGUGUUUAUACCCAGGUCUGUUAUUGAUUUGAUUCUAAGAAGGGGCUGUGUGUUUAUACCCAGGUCUGUUAUUGAUUUGAUUCUAAGAAGGGGCUGUGUUUAUACCCAGGUCUGUUAUUGAUUUGAUUCUAAGAAGGGGCUGUGUUUAUACCCAGGUCUGUUAUUGAUUUGAUUCUAAGGGGCUGUGUUUAUACCCAGGUCUGUUAUUGAUUUGAUUCUAAGAAGGGGCUGUGUUUAUACCCAGGUCUGGUAUUGAUUUGAUUCUAAGAAGGGGCUGUGUUUAUACCCAGGUCUGUUAUUGAUUUGAUUCUAAGAAGGGGCUGUGUUUAUACCCAGGUCUGUUAUUGAUUUGAUUCUAAGAAGGGGCCGUGUUUAUACCCAGGUCUGUUAUUGAUUUGAUUCUAAGGGGCUGUGUGUUUAUACCCAGGUCUGUUAUUGAUUUGAUUCUAAGGGGCUGUGUGUUUAUACCCAGGUCUGUUAUUGAUUUGAUUCUAAGGGGCUGUGUUUAUACCCAGGUCUGUUAUUGAUUUGAUUCUAAGGGGCUGUGUUUAUACCCAGGUCUGUUAUUGAUUUGAUUCUAAGGGGCUGUGUGUUUAUACCCAGGUCUGUUAUUGAUUUGAUUCUAAGGGGCUGUGUUUAUACCCAGGUCUGUUAUUGAUUUGAUUCUAAGGGGCUGUGUGUUUAUACCCAGGUCUUUAAUUGAUUUGAUUCUAAGGGGCUGUGUGUUUAUACCCAGGUCUGUUAUUGAUUUGAUUCUAAGGGGCUGUGUUUAUACCCAGGUCUGUUAUUGAUUUGAUUCUAAGGGGCUGUGUGUUUAUACCCAGGUCUUUAAUUGAUUUGAUUCUAAGGGGCUGUGUGUUUAUACCCAGGUCUGUUAUUGAUUUGAUUCUAAGGGGCUGUGUGUUUAUACCCAGGUCUGUUAUUGAUUUGAUUCUAAGGGGCUGUGUUUAUACCCAGGUCUGUUAUUGAUUUGAUUCUAAGAAGGGGCUGUGUUUAUACCCAGGUCUGUUAUUGAUUUGAUUCUAAGGGGCUGUGUGUUUAUACCCAGGUCUGUUAUUGAUUUGAUUCUAAGGGGCUGUGUGUUUAUACCCAGGUCUGUUAUUGAUUUGAUUCUAAGGGGCUGUGUUUAUACCCAGGUCUGUUAUUGAUUUGAUUCUAAGGGGCUGUGUGUUUAUACCCAGGUCUUUAAUUGAUUUGAUUCUAAGAAGGGGCUGUGUUUAUACCCAGGUCUUUAAUUGAUUUGAUUCUAAGAAGGGGCUGUGUUUAUACCCAGGUCUUUAAUUGAUUUGAUUCUAAGAAGGGGCUGUGUUUAUACCCAGGUCUGUUAUUGAUUUGAUUCUAAGGGGCUGUGUUUAUACCCAGGUCUUUAAUUGAUUUGAUUCUAAGAAGGGGCUGUGUUUAUACCCAGGUCUUUAAUUGAUUUGAUUCUAAGAAGGGGCUGUGUUUAUACCCAGGUCUUUAAUUGAUUUGAUUCUAAGAAGGGGCUGUGUGUUUAUACCCAGGUCUUUAAUUGAUUUGAUUCUAAGGGGCUGUGUGUUUAUACCCAGGUCUGUUAUUGAUUUGAUUCUAAGAAGGGGCUGUGUUUAUACCCAGGUCUGUUAUUGAUUUGAUUCUAAGGGGCUGUGUUUAUACCCAGGUCUGUUAUUGAUUUGAUUCUAAGAAGGGGCUGUGUUUAUACCCAGGUCUGUUAUUGAUUUGAUUCUAAGAAGGGGCUGUGUUUAUACCCAGGUCUGUUAUUGAUUUGAUUCUAAGGGGCUGUGUUUAUACCCAGGUCUGUUAUUGAUUUGAUUCUAAGAAGGGGCUGUGUUUAUACCCAGGUCUGUUAUUGAUUUGAUUCUAAGAAGGGGCUGUGUUUAUACCCAGGUCUGUUAUUGAUUUGAUUCUAAGAAGGGGCUGUGUUUAUACCCAGGUCUGUUAUUGAUUUGAUUCUAAGAAGGGGCUGUGUUUAUACCCAGGUCUGUUAUUGAUUUGAUUCUAAGAAGGGGCCGUGUUUAUACCCAGGUCUUUAAUUGAUUUGAUUCUAAGGGGCUGUGUGUUUAUACCCAGGUCUGUUAUUGAUUUGAUUCUAAGAAGGGGCUGUGUUUAUACCCAGGUCUGUUAUUGAUUUGAUUCUAAGAAGGGGCUGUGUUUAUACCCAGGUCUGUUAUUGAUUUGAUUCUAAGAAGGGGCUGUGUUUAUACCCAGGUCUGUUAUUGAUUUGAUUCUAAGAAGGGGCUGUGUUUAUACCCAGGUCUGUUAUUGAUUUGAUUCUAAGGGGCUGUGUUUAUACCCAGGUCUGUUAUUGAUUUGAUUCUAAGAAGGGGCUGUGUUUAUACCCAGGUCUGUUAUUGAUUUGAUUCUAAGAAGGGGCUGUGUUUAUACCCAGGUCUGUUAUUGAUUUGAUUCUAAGAAGGGGCUGUGUUUAUACCCAGGUCUGUUAUUGAUUUGAUUCUAAGAGGGGGCUGUGUUUAUACCCAGGUCUUUAAUUGAUUUGAUUCUAAGAAGGGGCUGUGUUUAUACCCAGGUCUGUUAUUGAUUUGAUUCUAAGAAGGGGCUGUGUUUAUACCCAGGUCUGUUAUUGAUUUGAUUCUAAGAAGGGGCUGUGUUUAUACCCAGGUCUGUUAUUGAUUUGAUUCUAAGAAGGGGCUGUGUUUAUACCCAGGUCUGGUAUUGAUUUGAUUCUAAGAAGGGGCUGUGUUUAUACCCAGGUCUGUUAUUGAUUUGAUUCUAAGAAGGGGCUGUGUUUAUACCCAGGUCUGUUAUUGAUUUGAUUCUAAGAAGGGGCUGUGUUUAUACCCAGGUCUGUUAUUGAUUUGAUUCUAAGAAGGGGCUGUGUUUAUACCCAGGUCUGUUAUUGAUUUGAUUCUAAGAAGGGGCUGUGUUUAUACCCAGGUCUGGUAUUGAUUUGAUUCUAAGAAGGGGCUGUGUUUAUACCCAGGUCUUUAAUUGAUUUGAUUCUAAGAAGGGGCUGUGUUUAUACCCAGGUCUGUUAUUGAUUUGAUUCUAAGAAGGGGCUGUGUUUAUACCCAGGUCUGUUAUUGAUUUGAUUCUAAGAAGGGGCUGUGUUUAUACCCAGGUCUGUUAUUGAUUUGAUUCUAAGAAGGGGCUGUGUUUAUACCCAGGUCUGUUAUUGAUUUGAUUCUAAGAAGGGGCUGUGUUUAUACCCAGGUCUGUUAUUGAUUUGAUUCUAAGAAGGGGCUGUGUUUAUACCCAGGUCUGUUAUUGAUUUGAUUCUAAGAAGGGGCUGUGUUUAUACCCAGGUCUUUAAUUGAUUUGAUUCUAAGAAGGGGCUGUGUUUAUACCCAGGUCUGUUAUUGAUUUGAUUCUAAGAAGGGGCUGUGUUUAUACCCAGGUCUGUUAUUGAUUUGAUUCUAAGAAGGGGCUGUGUUUAUACCCAGGUCUGUUAUUGAUUUGAUUCUAAGAAGGGGCUGUGUUUAUACCCAGGUCUGUUAUUGAUUUGAUUCUAAGAAGGGGCUGUGUUUAUACCCAGGUCUGUUAUUGAUUUGAUUCUAAGAAGGGGCUGUGUUUAUACCCAGGUCUGUUAUUGAUUUGAUUCUAAGAAGGGGCUGUGUUUAUACCCAGGUCUGUUAUUGAUUUGAUUCUAAGAAGGGGCUGUGUUUAUACCCAGGUCUGUUAUUGAUUUGAUUCUAAGAAGGGGCUGUGUUUAUACCCAGGUCUGGUAUUGAUUUGAUUCUAAGAAGGGGCUGUGUUUAUACCCAGGUCUUUAAUUGAUUUGAUUCUAAGAAGGGGCUGUGUUUAUACCCAGGUCUGUUAUUGAUUUGAUUCUAAGAAGGGGCUGUGUGUUUAUACCCAGGUCUGUUAUUGAUUUGAUUCUAAGAAGGGGCUGUGUUUAUACCCAGGUCUGUUAUUGAUUUGAUUCUAAGAAGGGGCUGUGUUUAUACCCAGGUCUGUUAUUGAUUUGAUUCUAAGAAGGGGCUGUGUGUUUAUACCCAGGUCUGUUAUUGAUUUGAUUCUAAGAAGGGGCUGUGUUUAUACCCAGGUCUGUUAUUGAUUUGAUUCUAAGGGGCUGUGUUUAUACCCAGGUCUGUUAUUGAUUUGAUUCUAAGAAGGGGCUGUGUUUAUACCCAGGUCUGGUAUUGAUUUGAUUCUAAGAAGGGGCUGUGUUUAUACCCAGGUCUGUUAUUGAUUUGAUUCUAAGAAGGGGCUGUGUUUAUACCCAGGUCUGUUAUUGAUUUGAUUCUAAGAAGGGGCCGUGUUUAUACCCAGGUCUUUAAGUGAUUUGAUUCUAAGAAGGGGCUGUGUUUAUACCCAGGUCUGUUAUUGAUUUGAUUCUAAGAAGGGGCUGUGUUUAUACCCAGGUCUGUUAUUGAUUUGAUUCUAAGAAGGGGCUGUGUUUAUACCCAGGUCUGUUAUUGAUUUGAUUCUAAGAAGGGGCUGUGUUUAUACCCAGGUCUGUUAUUGAUUUGAUUCUAAGAAGGGGCUGAAGUCUGUUUAACUCUGGACAGAAUAUCACAUCAAUGGAUCCCUCAUUUUACAUGCUGUCCUGGUUUUACCGUCUGUUUUCUCCAGAUUUCCUUUUAAAUCUAUUUGUCUUCAUCCUUUUACAGCGUGUUGUUAUUCUGCCUCCUUUUUGUAGGUCUUCUUCUUCUUGUGUUUUAUUCAAGCCAACUGUUUGAGGUUUCUCUCCCCCCCAUAAAGACAUUAAACAUUUACCAGAUGUAGAUGGAAAACAUGA